CAGGUUCCGGGGAUUAGGAUGUAGACAUCUGUGGGGAGGGGGCAAUCAUUAUUCUGCCAGCCAGAGGAAGUUUGUCCACAUUGUGGGGAUUUCUAUGCCAACAGAAAUAUCAACGCUGUUUGCACUAUAAUUUACUUUUUGAGCUUCUGACAUUUACCCAGCUGACUGUCUUUGGAGAACAAUCUCUUGACUGAGAAGCACUCUAGACAGUUUUCAAAGUUGAGAUUUCCUUAUUACUUCAGUUAGCAACUAAGUGUUGAGUGUCUACUGUUUGUCUGUCCAUGGAUGAUCCACUUCUCAGGCAUGGGGGCCAUGUGGCUUUAAUCUCUGUGUGCGGAGCUCCAAGCUAAGGGACUGGCACAGCACACCAAAUAGGUUACAGAAGAUUUGCAGAGAAAAUGCAAGCUAUAUUUUUUUUCUUCUACAUAUCCAGAAGGUGCCGUUUUAUCUCAAAUUUGGGAAGACAUUGACAAUCAUUCCUCUGCUCACAUCAUAUGAUAAUGGAAGAAUUGCAUUGCUUUGUAAAACCUAGUUCUACAUUAAAUGCCACAGAAGAUCCCUUCCGAUCAGAAAAGGGAGUUGAAGUGGAAAAAAGACUUGAUUCAGAAAAUUGUGGAAGAGACAUGUCUGUACAUAACACUGAGAAAUUGAGAUCAUAAGGACGCAAAGAAAUUAAUUAUAUCAUUCAAUUAUUCCUCGCACAGUCUUCAUAUUAUCUUAUAUACAUGAAUAUGUAUUUUUUAUUAAAACAUCUUAGAAGAAAAAUGUAUAUACACACACAGACCCAUACAUCUAUUCUAUUGUAGAAAGUGGGAGAAGAAUAAUGUUCUUGAUUAAAAUAUAAAUUUAUUCUAUACUAUUAUUAAGAUCUUUUGCUUUUCAACACAGAGCCCUACUUGACCACCCAAAGAACUUGUACGAGAAAGAAAGUUUCAGAGUUCUUCAUUGUCA
RNAcentral lists this long non-coding RNA (951 nucleotides) under Equus caballus (horse). Its description in RNAcentral is "lncRNA (ENSECAG00000031611.2)". The record is from RNAcentral. Lineage: Eukaryota; Metazoa; Chordata; Mammalia; Perissodactyla; Equidae.